This 270-nucleotide ribosomal RNA is filed under the name uncultured archaeon. RNAcentral's name for it is "partial 16S ribosomal RNA". It matches the Rfam family "Archaeal small subunit ribosomal RNA", at positions 477 to 747 of the family's 1478-position model. The record is from RNAcentral.
CAGCCCCUCGAGUGGUGGGGAUGAUUAUUUGGCCUAAAGCGUCCGUAGCCUGCCGGGUAAGUUUCCCGUUAAAUCCAGCGUCUCAAGCGUUGGACUGCGGGAAAUACUGCCUGGCUAGAGAGUGGGAGAGGUCAGCGGUAUUCUGGGGGUAGGGGCGAAAUCCUUUGAUCCCCGGAGGACCACCAGUGGCGAAGGCUGCUGACUAGAACACGUCUGACGGUCAGGGACGAAAGCUGGGGUAGCGAACCGGAUUAGAUACCCGUGUAGUCC